AAAAUCAUUCCGCGUGACAUGCUUGCAAUUUGUGAUAAAAUCAUUCCGCGUGACAUGCUUGCAAUCUGUGAACGGGCUGUUUUUAUAUGGGCGAACCAGCCCGGAUACCCAAACUGACUCGCCUAAGUAAGAUCCCACGUCGACUGACCCGAAAUCUCGGGUGGCCGGGCUAAACGUGUAAACGCAAUUACCCGAGCUGGAUCGCUUUAGCGGGCUGAGUGUAUUGCUCUGUUCAUUCUGGUUGUAAAUAAGAAUUUUUCCACAGAUUUCAAUCUUAAAAGGUCUCCGUGAACGAUUCUGUGUGCAUAACCCUUCAUAUUAUACUAUUUAAUAUAAACGUGUAUAUAUAAUGUAAACACAGGAUGAAAUCAGCGCGGCAAAAGCUCGCUUCCAUAUAAACACCCCCUUAGUUAAUGUGUUCGACCAUAAAUGUCUGCGGUUUCGAAAUUUGCGUCGACGCACAACACAUGUAUAAACACAUACCUCUAUCCAUGCCGGUGGGGGACGUCUCUUGGCCCACAAUUCUGGUUUUCCCUCUAGACAUAUUACAAGGUGUAUCUGGUGCCCUAAACUGCGCGUCGCUUCUCGUUCGUAACACAGGUCUUUUUGAGCGGCUAGGUAGAGAUGCAGUUCUUCGGAAAUUACUGAUGUUUCUGGUUUGAAAUUGUUGAAGUUUUGGAUCUUGUACUGAAAAGCGUCUUAAGUACGGACGGGCACGAGCCACAGCCGCUAGGUCUAG
This is a non-coding RNA of Paramuricea clavata, 739 nucleotides long. NCBI's taxonomy places the organism in Eukaryota, Metazoa, Cnidaria, Anthozoa, Malacalcyonacea, Plexauridae. The record is from the annotation of a GenBank genome assembly.